CGUACCUUUUGUAUAAUGGGUCAGCGACUUAUAUUCUGUAGCAAGGUUAACCGAAUAGGGGAGCCGAAGGGAAACCGAGUCUUAACUGGGCGUUAAGUUGCAGGGUAUAGACCCGAAACCCGGUGAUCUAGCCAUGGGCAGGUUGAAGGUUGGGUAACACUAACUGGAGGACCGAACCGACUAAUGUUGAAAAAUUAGCGGAUGACUUGUGGCUGGGGGUGAAAGGCCAAUCAAACCGGGAGAUAGCUGGUUCUCCCCGAAAGCUAUUUAGGUAGCGCCUCGUGAAUUCAUCUCCGGGGGUAGAGCACUGUUUCGGCAAGGGGGUCAUCCCGACUUACCAACCCGAUGCAAACUGCGAAUACCGGAGAAUGUUAUUACGGGAGACACACGGCGGGUGCUAACGUCCGUCGUGAAGAGGGAAACAACCCAGACCGCCAGCUAAGGUCCCAAAGUCAUGGUUAAGUGGGAAACGAUGUGGGAAGGCCCAGACAGCCAGGAUGUUGGCUUAGAAGCAGCCAUCAUUUAAAGAAAGCGUAAUAGCUCACUGGUCGAGUCGGCCUGCGCGGAAGAUGUAACGGGGCUAAACCAUGCACCGAAGCUGCGGCAGCGACGCUUAUGCGUUGUUGGGUAGGGGAGCGUUCUGUAAGCCUGUGAAGGUGUGCUGUGAGGUAUGCUGGAGGUAUCAGAAGUGCGAAUGCUGACAUAAGUAACGAUAAAGCGGGUGAAAAGCCCGCUCGCCGGAAGACCAAGGGUUCCUGUCCAACGUUAAUCGGGGCAGGGUGAGUCGACCCCUAAGGCGAGGCCGAAAGGCGUAGUCGAUGGGAAACAGGUUAAUAUUCCUGUACUUGGUGUUACUGCGAAGGGGGGACGGAGAAGGCUAUGUUGGCCGGGCGACGGUUGUCCCGGUUUAAGCGUGUAGGCUGGUUUUCCAGGCAAAUCCGGAAAAUCAAGGCCGAGGCGUGAUGACGAGGCACUACGGUGCUGAAGCAACAAAUGCCCUGCUUCCAGGAAAAGCCUCUAAGCAUCAGGUAACAUCAAAUCGUACCCCAAACCGACACAGGUGGUCAGGUAGAGAAUACCAAGGCGCUUGAGAGAACUCGGGUGAAGGAACUAGGCAAAAUGGUGCCGUAACUUCGGGAGAAGGCACGCUGAUACGUAGGUGAAGCGACUUGCUCGUGGAGCUGAAAUCAGUCGAAGAUACCAGCUGGCUGCAACUGUUUAUUAAAAACACAGCACUGUGCAAACACGAAAGUGGACGUAUACGGUGUGACGCCUGCCCGGUGCCGGAAGGUUAAUUGAUGGGGUUAGCGCAAGCGAAGCUCUUGAUCGAAGCCCCGGUAAACGGCGGCCGUAACUAUAACGGUCCUAAGGUAGCGAAAUUCCUUGUCGGGUAAGUUCCGACCUGCACGAAUGGCGUAAUGAUGGCCAGGCUGUCUCCACCCGAGACUCAGUGAAAUUGAACUCGCUGUGAAGAUGCAGUGUACCCGCGGCAAGACGGAAAGACCCCGUGAACCUUUACUAUAGCUUGACACUGAACAUUGAGCCUUGAUGUGUAGGAUAGGUGGGAGGCUUUGAAGUGUGGACGCCAGUCUGCAUGGAGCCGACCUUGAAAUACCACCCUUUAAUGUUUGAUGUUCUAACGUGGACCCGUGAUCCGGGUUGCGGACAGUGUCUGGUGGGUAGUUUGACUGGGGCGGUCUCCUCCUAAAGAGUAACGGAGGAGCACGAAGGUUGGCUAAUCCUGGUCGGACAUCAGGAGGUUAGUGCAAUGGCAUAAGCCAGCUUGACUGCGAGCGUGACGGCGCGAGCAGGUGCGAAAGCAGGUCAUAGUGAUCCGGUGGUUCUGAAUGGAAGGGCCAUCGCUCAACGGAUAAAAGGUACUCCGGGGAUAACAGGCUGAUACCGCCCAAGAGUUCAUAUCGACGGCGGUGUUUGGCACCUCGAUGUCGGCUCAUCACAUCCUGGGGCUGAAGUAGGUCCCAAGGGUAUGGCUGUUCGCCAUUUAAAGUGGUACGCGAGCUGGGUUUAGAACGUCGUGAGACAGUUCGGUCCCUAUCUGCCGUGGGCGCUGGAGAACUGAGGGGGGCUGCUCCUAGUACGAGAGGACCGGAGUGGACGCAUCACUGGUGUUCGGGUUGUCAUGCCAAUGGCACUGCCCGGUAGCUAAAUGCGGAAGAGAUAAGUGCUGAAAGCAUCUAAGCACGAAACUUGCCCCGAGAUGAGUUCUCCCUGACCCUUUAAGGGUCCUGAAGGAACGUUGAAGACGACGACGUUGAUAGGCCGGGUGUGUAAGCGCAGCGAUGCGUUGAGCUAACCGGUACUAAUGAACCGUGAGGCUUAACCUUACAACGCCGAAG
RNAcentral lists this ribosomal RNA (2357 nucleotides) under Shigella flexneri. RNAcentral describes it as "partial 23S ribosomal RNA". It matches the Rfam family "Bacterial large subunit ribosomal RNA", at positions 600 to 2925 of the family's 2925-position model. The record is from RNAcentral. Lineage: Bacteria; Pseudomonadati; Pseudomonadota; Gammaproteobacteria; Enterobacterales; Enterobacteriaceae.